This 45-nucleotide transfer RNA is filed under the name Bootherium bombifrons. Its description in RNAcentral is "partial tRNA-Phe". Lineage: Eukaryota; Metazoa; Chordata; Mammalia; Artiodactyla; Bovidae. The record is from RNAcentral.
CAAGGCACUGAAAAUGCCUAGAUGAGUAUACCAACUCCAUAAACA